This 468-nucleotide ribosomal RNA is filed under the name uncultured bacterium. RNAcentral describes it as "partial 16S ribosomal RNA". It matches the Rfam family "Bacterial small subunit ribosomal RNA", at positions 28 to 507 of the family's 1533-position model. The record is from RNAcentral.
GACGAACGCUGGCGGCGUGCUUAACACAUGCAAGUCGAACGGUGAAGCUCCAGCUUGCUGGAGUGGAUCAGUGGCGAACGGGUGAGUAACACGUGAGCAACCUGCCCCUGACUCUGGAAUAAGCGCUGGAAACGGCGUCUAAUACUGGAUACGAGAAGGGUCCGCAUGGGCACUUUCUGGAAAGUUUUUCGGUUGGGGAUGGGCUCGCGGCCUAUCAGCUUGUUGGUGAGGUAAUGGCUCACCAAGGCGACGACGGGUAGCCGGCCUGAGAGGGCGACCGGCCACACUGGGACUGAGACACGGCCCAGACCCCUACGGGAGGCAGCAGUGGGGAAUAUUGCACAAUGGGCGAAAGCCUGAUGCAGCGACGCCGCGUGAGGGAUGACGGCCUUCGGGUUGUAAACCUCUUUCAGCAGGGAAGAAGCGAAAGUGACGGUACCUGCAGAAGAAGCACCGGCUAACUACGUG